Molecule: RNA transcript, 6851 nt
Organism: Xiphophorus hellerii (green swordtail)
Lineage: Eukaryota; Metazoa; Chordata; Actinopteri; Cyprinodontiformes; Poeciliidae
Exons: 2
Source: RefSeq, a predicted model, not a curated record
ACUCAUAUUGUUACAAAGGCUCGGGUGUUUAUUACUUUGGACUGGGAGAGGGAGGUGCGCCACCCGGUGGCGAGUUCGUUAUUGCACAUUCAGCAGCUGCAGAAGCAUUAUAGCUCUGGGAGUGGAGACACGCAGCUGCUGCUUACCGUUUCGGUUGAGGUCGAUGUGCGUUCUUGACUUACUGUAAGUAAUUGCUGUUAAAUGUAUCAAGGCAGUUAAUUUAGUAGUUCCGUCUGUAUUACAUGUUGAUGUUAUAUUCAUAAGAGUCGCCGGUUUAAUGCGACCUUUUACUAACUCCACGUGGGUUAGCCUGUUAGCUAUCGGUUGUAGCAUUCAAUAUACGUGUCGUUAGUUUGUGGCCAGCAGAUGUCACUGCAGCAACUUGUACGUGAUAAUGUGUAAGGUGAAUUAACGUGGGCUUUAUUUUCUGUUGUGAUUUAGACCACAUCACCUCACCUCCACAUCCACACAUAUCCAACUCCAAGCCUGUACUACUGCUGUAACAACCAAAUAAAGAGAGCUUCACAAACAGGAAAUCCCCUCCUCAGUUUGUCCUGAUCGACACACAGUGGCGAGUGUAAAUAUUCCACCAGCCUCAAGUUUAGAACGUAGAACCUUCGCUACAAUUUAUGGUCCUUCGAGCCGGAGUGGGACACUUACCACUGUUUCAGCAUGCAGUUCAGCCGUGAAGCAACGAUGAGACCAAAGCGGCAAACCCGCCCGCCUUCCUAUUUACAGGAUUAUGAAACCAACGAUCAGGAACACCGGUUUCAGCCUCUGUUUGAUUAUCGAGGUGUGCGAGCUGAGCCGAGAUGUGAGGAUAGCUCGUAUUCACCGUCGGAGGAGGGAGCUGCCAAGAUGACACCCCUCAGCCCCCCAUCUACCGCAGCCGGAUGUAAGCAGUGGGAAAUCACGGUAGAUGAGUGGGUUGGUUACCCCGAACAGACACUUACCGAACCACAGCGGCGGAAGAGCUUGGCAGAAGAGGAUAACAGAGAUUAUUCUACUGGCUCUCCACAUCACAGGCAGCAGCAGCAGAGCUUCGCACCAUACCACUCGGAGCUGGAGCAGUUAAAGAUGAAAGAAAUCGAAUAUGAGCGGGCUAAAGAAGAAGUACGUUCUGAGUUAGCCGAACUCAGGGAUUUAAAGGAAGAAAUGAGGAGGAGAAUGGGAUAUAUGCCACAGAGUAUGGCUACUUCACAGCAGCGGUUCGAAAUCCCAUCACCGACAUACGCCCCGCCUCCUCCUUCGACAUGGUGGAGUAACGGUGAGGAGGGGGAGGAGGAAUGGCCUGAACCUCCACCGUGGCCCAAGACAGAGGAGGAGGAUGAACCUUCUCCAUCAACCCAGCCUGUCUCGGUCAUGUUGGAAAAGCUGAUGAGUGAUCUACAACUCUUAAAGAAUCGGACCAUGGCACCACAGGGCGGAAAACCACGGUUCAUGAGAUCUGUCCCCACACAAGAAAAGAUGCCGAUAGAUCGUCGGGGAUCAUUGAGGCCAGGAGGCCCGGAUCGACCAACGAGUUUGUAUUCUCCUUCGAUGUUGCCAGUUGUCACAGAACAAACAUAUCAAGGUCCUAGGCCAAGCAUCCCCUACUUCGCUAGACGAGAUCCCAGGGACUUUGCUCGGUUAAAGAUAGCGUUGAUUAAUCUAUUACCACCAGAAGGGACAGAGCUGUUCAAGUACCAGAUCCUGGUGGAUCACCUCAAACUCGAAGAAGCUAAACUCAUAGCAGACUCUUAUUUGAACUCCGCCACCCCAUACUCAGACACUAUGAGGGCUCUAAGUGAGAAAUUCGGCCAGCCACACCAGAUGGCAUUGAACAGGAUUGCCGGUGUAAUGGAUGCUCCAGACGUCCGCCGAGGUGACUCGGUGGCGUUUGAGAGGUUCGCUCUCGAAGUUCAGUCUCUGGUCGGGUUACUCAGGACUUUGGGUCCAGAGGGUGAUGCUGAGCUGAGAUGCGGAUCUCAUGUGGCCCGUUUGUUGAGUAAACUACCUGCAGAGCAGCGUGCAGACUUCCGUCGAGCCAUGUUCCGCCAUCCCAAUGCAGUCUACACGUUAGUGGAUUUCGCUGAAUGGCUCCAGUACGAGACCUGGUGUCAUAAUUCGGACAAUUAUGAUUCCGGAGCAGGAAAUAAAGACAAAGCAGGACAUCAGAAGAAGAGGGUCACGACGGUGCUGCAUGGAACCAAGGACGGUUCCGUUUCCAGGGCUUCGGGGAGCACGGGCAUCAAAUCGAAUCGUUAUUGCCCAUACUGUGAAAGUAAUGAACAUUACCUCAGCCAAUGUACGGGCAUUCAGAGGUUGUCCAAGGACCAACUAUCGCAGUGGAUAAAGGAUCACAACAGAUGCUGGCACUGUGUGAGAUCUCACCAUGCAGCCCAGUGUGAUCUUCGGAAACCCUGUAACCUGUCUCAGGGGAAACAUCUUCAGGUGCUUCACGAUGUGAACACCAGAGACACUAAAGACACCACUAGAGAGGAGAGUUGCCUCAUCAGCACCACUGACCAGCUGUAUUUGGGCCGACCGCUGGUGUACGGCAGAGUUCUGCUGAAGGUGGUCCAGGUCACCUUGCAUCACGGGAAACAGAGCCUCAAAACCUAUGCCCUACUCGAUGAUGGUUCUGAACGUACCAUGUUCCUGGCUCCUGCUGCACACAAGCUUGGUCUGCAGGGCACCCCAGAGACUCUGAAUCUGAGAACCAUAAGGCAGGACAUUCAGACCAUGAGAGGUGCUUCCGUUUCCUUUCAGAUAUCUCCUUCCUUCAGCAAUCGCCGCCGCUUCGCAGUGAAUGGAGCCUUUACGGCCGAUCGCCUGGUCCUGGCAGAACAGUCGUACCCGAUCGACAGACUCCAGAAACAGUUCAAGUAUCUGUCCGAUCUGCCUCUACAUCCUUUCAAGAAUGUGCAGCCUCUGAUCCUCAUUGGGACUGACAACCCUCACCUCAUUACUCCCAUUGAACCGGUUCGGUUGGGUCCAUCGGGAGCACCAGCUGCAGUCAGAACGAGGCUCGGAUGGGCUCUCCAGGGACCAAUGAGAACAGAGGACAGUGGUCUCCAACACUCCCAGUGUUUGUUUACAUCUGCUCCCCCCGCUAAUGCGGAGCUGCUGAGGAAUGUGGAGAAACUCUGGCAGACCGACGUUCUUCCCUACCAGAAAGAGAAGACAGUAACCCGUUCCAAGCUGGACCAAGAAGCUGUAGACCUGUUGGAGAAGAGGACCGAACGGGUGUAUGUUGAUGGGAUUCUCCGUUACGCUACACCACUGCUACGGAAGAAAACCAUGCCUGUCCUCAAAGCCUCUUCUGAAUCGGUGAUGUUCAACUUACGGAGCAAUGAAAGAAGAUUGAGUAAGAACCCAACGAUGGCUAACACAUACCAGGAGGAGAUUCGGAAGCUGGUCCAGGCCGGUAGUGUGGUGAAGUUGGGCCCUCAAGACACUGCAUCAAAGGGGGAGUCGUGGUUCAUUCCUCAUCAUAUGGUGAACCAUAAUAACAAGGACAGGCUGGUGUUCAACUGCUCUCACCAGUACCAGGGCCUUAAUCUGAACGACUUCCAACUACCUGGACCUACCCUCAGUGCAUCACUUAUAGGAGUGUUACUGCGGUUCCGGGAACAUGCCGUCGCCAUCAGCAGCGACAUAAAAGGGAUGUUUCACCAAGUUCGCCUCCUUCCAGAAGAUGGACCCCUCUUAAGGUACGUGUGGCGGGAUCAGGUCAAGGACCGACCACCAGACAUUUAUGAAUGGCAGGUGCUUCCCUUUGGCACCACUUGUAGUCCCUGUUGUGCGACCUAUGCCCUCCAGCGUCACGUCACUGACCAUAGUCAGGAUGGAGAGGAUGUGCGGUUUUCUGUGGAGCGGUGUUUUUACGUCGACAACUGGCUGCAAAGCUUACCAUUCGUGGAUUCAGCGAAGGCCUUGGUGGACAAGCUAAGAGCACUGCUUCUCUCCACAGGAUUCGACCUUCGUCAAUGGUCAAGUAAUGCGAUGGAGGUGAUCAGCCACUUGCCAUGUGAGGCCCGUUCCCCUGCUACAGAGCUCUGGCUGACCCAAGACAAGCACGAUCCAUCUGAAAGCACACUUGGGCUUAGCUGGAACCCUCAGCAAGACCUCAUUGGCUACAAACACAGGCCUCUCAGCUAUGGGACCGUGACCAUGAGGAACAUCUACAAGGUUCUCGCCUCCCAGUACGAUCCUCUGGGUUACAUCCUACCCUACACGACUCGGGCCAAGGUGUUGGUUCGUCAGCUGUGGGAGAAGCGGCGGGAUUGGGAUGACCCGUUGCUCCCCCCGGAUGUACAGCAACUAUGGGCGCAGUGGGAAGGUGAACUCCAACUACUGCCCCAAGUCACCUUACCCAGACAUUACACGCAUGCAGCUGAAGAUGCUUUGAUCAUCAACAGACAAGUACAUAUCUUCUGCGAUGCUUCGGAACAGGUUUAUGGGUCCGUGGCAUACCUCAGGUCUGAGGAUAGUCAGGGACAAAUACACCUAGCCUUCCUCCUCGCUCGCUCACGGGUAGCCCCCAGGCGACAGCUUUCCAUACCUCGGUUGGAGCUUUCUGCAGCCUUAACAGGAGCCCAGCUAGCCAAGCUGUUAAGCGCUGAGCUCACCCUGAAGAUUGACACUACCACCUUGUGGACAGAUUCCACCACGGUGUUGAGAUGGAUACUUUCGGACUCAUGUCGCUAUAAAGUAUUCGUGGGAACCCGAGUGACGGAGAUUCAAGAUUUAACAGACUCACAGUCCUGGCGUUAUGUAGAUUCAGCCAGCAAUCCAGCUGAUGACAUUACCCGAGGUAAGACCUUGCAGGAGUUGUCUGAGCUGAACAGAUGGACAAGAGGACCCCCCUUUUUACUUCAGACUCCAGACUACUGGCCCACGCCACCAGCAAUCCCACUCGAAGAGGAACCCAUAGAACUUUGGAAGUCAGCCUUUUGUGGUGUGACUUCGACAUCUACCUGUCUGAACUCAGAAUCUGAAGCCUACAAGGACUGGCAGGAGUUGCUCGAGUCAACAGCACAGACCCUGCAGGAUGCAGAGGGGACAGAUGGAAAUCUGAGUGCGGAAAAUUAUCGCAAGGCGGAAAGACACCUUAUCAAUAAGAUACAGCACGACAGCUUUCCCGAAGAGAUUAGGCUUCUUAGUUUAGGCAAGCCGGUUGCCAUCAACAGCAGGUUGCAUGCCUUGGCACCCCAGUUGGAUGAAGCAGGAGAAAUCCGAGUAGGUGGCCGAUUGAGGUACGCGACGGAUCUUGAGCUAGGAGCGGUUCAUCCCAUUGUUCUAGAUCCGAACCACCCAUUCACCAGACUGCUAAUACAGGACUACGAUCGACGUUUGUGCCACCCUGGUCCCGAACGAUUGUUCGCUGACAUUCGUCGGAACUUCUGGAUAUUACGAGGAAGAGAAGCGGUUCGACGUCAUCAGUCCAGAUGCUCUGACUGCAGACGAUGGAAGGCCAAGCCUACGGUUCCUCAGAUGGCCGACCUGCCAAUUGCGCAUCUGCGCCUCUUCAAGCCUGCGUUCUACUCCACAGGCACAGACUGCUUCGGACCAUUUCAGGUCAGAAUCGGGAGGCGCAACGAGAAACGAUGGGGCAUAAUCUUCAAGUGUUUGACUACCAGGGCAGUCCAUCUUGAUGUACUUACGCACCUUGAUGUUGACUCCUUUCUUAUGGCCUUAAGGAGAUUUAUAGCCCGUCGGGGUACGCCGGUGGAAAUUCUCUCAGAUCAAGGAACUAACUUCCGUGGAGCGGAACGGGAGCUACAACAGGCCAUGGCAAAGAUGUCUUCGGACCUGCAGCAAUCCCUCGCCAAGCAAAGGAUCGCUUUCAAGUUUAAUCCCCCUGGUGCACCUCACUUUGGUGGAGUGUGGGAGAGAGAAAUACGCUCCGUGAAAACGGCUUUGUAUGCCACCGUCGGGGCUCAACCAUUGCCCGAGGAGGUGCUGAGGACAGUUCUUAUAGAAGUGGAGGGCAUUCUGAACUCGAAGCCAUUAGGCUAUGUUUCCUCCAGUAUCGCUGAUCCUGACCCUGUGACGCCAAAUCAUCUGUUGAUGGGGCGGCCGGAUGGGUCACUGCCUCAGGUCGUGUACCCGGCAACUGAAUUUCCCAGCAGACGUCGCUGGCGGCACUCCCAGGUGCUGGCAGACCAGUUCUGGUCCAGAUUCAUCAGGGAAUACCUUCCCAAUUUACAGGUUAGGCAGAAAUGGCAGACCACUCAAGCUGACCUGAACGAGGAUGCUGUGGUCAUGCUCAUGGACCCCCAACUUCCCAGAGCCUUGUGGCCCGUUGGACGGGUGACUAAGGUGCAUCCCAGCGCUGACGGCCGCAUCAGGUCGGUGGAUGUUAAAGUGAAGGACAGAGUCUACACUCGACCAGUAGCGAGGAUGGUUGUUCUUCCUGCGGCACCCGAAGAAGCCGGCGGUCAGGAUUCAUCAUUGAAGACUUAGUUCGUCGCCUUUGUUUGUAACAAAUGUACUUCAUACAUUUGGGGGCGGCUGUUACAAAGGCUCGGGUGUUUAUUACUUUGGACUGGGAGAGGGAGGUGCGCCACCCGGUGGCGAGUUCGUUAUUGCACAUUCAGCAGCUGCAGAAGCAUUAUAGCUCUGGGAGUGGAGACACGCAGCUGCUGCUUACCGUUUCGGUUGAGGUCGAUGUGCGUUCUUGACUUACUACCACAUCACCUCACCUCCACAUCCACACAUAUCCAACUCCAAGCCUGUACUACUGCUGUAACAACCAAAUAAAGAGAGCUUCACAAACAGGAAAUCCCCUCCUCAGUUUGUCCUGAUCGACACACAGUGGCGAGUGUAAAUAUUCCACCAGCCUCAAGUUUAGAACGUAGAACCUU